AGAAGGGUUCCACAGGCUUCACCAGAUUGCCAGCAGAAGUAAUACGGCUACAAAUCAAGAGAAGCCCUGCUUCUGAAUCUGCCUGUGUCCACCUGACCUUUCUGUGUGACUGUGGGCAAGUCGUCUUCCCACCCAGAGAGCAGUUUUGAUAUCUGCACAACCGGGAGGUUGGCCCGCUCAAGGGCAGCAUGCUUCUGGCAUUCCUACUGGAGUUUCCCCUUGCCAUGUCCGCAGCAGACACUACCGGUCACAGGCUCUGGUUAUUCCGCGCCUGUGUGCAGCUUCAGAAACCUUUUCAACACUACUGAUGGACCAGAAAUGGCCAAUGAGAUGAGACUGAUUCAUGAGUGUACUAAGCGAUCUAAACUUAAAAGUACCACCCACGUUUCCACCUCUGAUUUCCCAUGGCUCCAAGGAUCUGAUCUGAGAACCCAAGGAAGACCCUGGACUGAUGGUGAAGACUCGUAAAGAAGGCUAUCUCUCACCUCUGACCUCUCAGCGGGGCUAUACAUUCUCUUGCAUGCACUCUAGAGCAAAGAUGGGGUCAGAAUAGGACACCCAGAUGCUGAAAUCUCACACUCCCAUGGGUCUAUCAGGUCUACAGCAGAGAAAGGAAGAGAUAUGGGUAGAAAUCAAAGUCUCUGGUCAGCGUUGGGAACUGAUGUCCUACCGCAACUGGUGCCACCAGGACCUUCCUCUCCCCAACCACCCCAUGUCAUAAGGGCGAUCAGGCAGUGAUGGCAACAAAGUGAACAACUCCAGCUACCCCAAGAUAAUUUAUGCCAACACAGCCACAUGCCAACGUGUGGACUCACUAUGUAGCCCGGGCUGGUCUCCAGCUCGUGGCAGUCCUCUUGCUUCAGCCUCCCCAGUACUGGGAUUACAGGUGUGCACCUGGCCAAAUGUUGUAGUGAGUUUAACACACCUAGCACAACUAUUAGUACGCAACUAUAGUAGGUACUUAAUAACCGCAGCUACUCCACUAAAGCAUCUCAAGCUUUGUUCAUGGGGACAGGAGGGACCCCCCCCCCCCCCACUGCACCCAAAUGUAUCCAUCUCAAGGCCUGCAGGCGCAGCAUGCAUGAAGUUCUCACUCAGAUACCCAAUGCCGUCAAACAUAUUCACACACACCUUGCAUCAACCCUCGGGAGGAUUCUGAGAUGCCAAGGCUGGUUACCAAGGAAAGGUGUUUAGGAGCCUCCCCUGGGGAGUAGCCGCAACUUUCCAGGGCUGUUGAGAACGGAGGCCUGCCCCACAGCAAGAGCCUCACUCACAGGACCCUACAGAGGUCAAAGAAUUUGUGGACUUUCAUGCCAUUUGCUCCCGUUCACAUGUUCACAAGCAAACACGCAUGUGCACAUGUCCCUAAAUUCCCUCUUCCUGGAAACUGUCGGGGCUUUCACUCUACCUCACUCUCUCCCCUCGCCUCCCUUGGGAGGAAAGGCUGCCACAGUCCUUGAAAUCAGCAUUCCCUGAGAUUUGUUUUCUUAGCAGGGAGCUGCAGGGGAGGAGAGAACAGGUUGGCUUAGGCUCAAACGACUGAACAGAAGGGGCUUUGAGAAGAAAAGUGACUUCUUCCCAAGUUCAUCGGAGGUCCUGCCGUGGGGACUGGAAUCCAAAGUGCCCGCCCUAUCUCUGAUCAGCCUGCUUCUCACACCACAGCCACAUGCUGGGCCUGGGUUUCCCUCCCAAGAGUCAUGAGAAAAUUCCGUGCCUCACCGAGCUAUUUUCUCCUUCUUUGGUUUAUAGGAUUCUACAUUUUGAAAAGUUCUGAUAAAUGGUG
Molecule: long non-coding RNA, 1783 nt
Filed under: Heterocephalus glaber (naked mole-rat)
Lineage: Eukaryota; Metazoa; Chordata; Mammalia; Rodentia; Bathyergidae
Description: lncRNA (ENSHGLG00000041228.1)
Source: RNAcentral